Molecule: ribosomal RNA, 301 nt
Filed under: uncultured bacterium
Lineage: Bacteria
Description: partial 16S ribosomal RNA
Rfam family: Bacterial small subunit ribosomal RNA
Source: RNAcentral
CAGUAGCCGCGGUAAUACGGAGGGUGCGAGCGUUGUCCGGAUUUAUUGGGUUUAAAGGGUGCGUAGGCGGCCGUUUAAGUCCGGGGUGAAAGCCCGCUGCUCAACAGCGGAACUGCCCUGGAUACUGGACGGCUUGAGUACAGACGAGGUUGGCGGAAUGGACUGAGUAGCGGUGAAAUGCAUAGAUACAGUCCAGAACCCCGAUUGCGAAGGCAGCUGACUAGGCUGUUACUGACGCUGAGGCACGAAAGCGUGGGGAGCGAACAGGAUUAGAUACCCCAGUAGUCCCUGUCUCUUAUAA